Molecule: ribosomal RNA, 24 nt
Filed under: Trichoderma asperellum
Lineage: Eukaryota; Fungi; Ascomycota; Sordariomycetes; Hypocreales; Hypocreaceae
Description: partial 18S ribosomal RNA
Source: RNAcentral
CUUGGGAGCGGAGGAUCAUUACCG